This 1301-nucleotide long non-coding RNA is filed under the name Falco tinnunculus (common kestrel). RNAcentral's name for it is "lncRNA (ENSFTIG00000000685.1)". Lineage: Eukaryota; Metazoa; Chordata; Aves; Falconiformes; Falconidae. The record is from RNAcentral.
UUGUCACAGCCUCCAGUAACAUCAGUAGGAAGAGGUCAGUCCCCAGUGUGACAGAGCAGACGUGGAGGCUGGCAGACUACCCAGGCAUUAUUGAAAAUUAUACCAAGCUACUCGCUUGUAAUGCCUCCCUCCCACAGACCUUUCACAAGAAACUGUAAGUAUUUGACAUCCCUGGUGCAGGCAAAGACAGUCAGAGGCUCUGUUAUCUUCUUUUAUAAGCUGGAGAAUUUGGCUAUGAGUAGACAAAGGUCCCCGUCUGGCAAGGCAUGUGGGUAGUAUCACUCAUAUGAGUAAAGUGAUACACGAGCCUGCAAGAUUUGUCUGAGCAGAUCUCUGAAGAUGAGUCCUGACCUUAGCUACAAGAGCCUCCAUCUGGAAGUACAGUUAAUUGGUAAAAAUGUGUCUACUCUGAAUUUAAAAAAAAUUAUCUAUAUUACUACAAGGGGAAAUUCUUCUUUAUUACUGUUUUGUUACCAGUAUCCUUUUGAAGCUAAGGUUCCUGCACACACAUGCAGCAGCCAGAUUCAUGGGACGACCAAAUCUUAAACGUGGCGAAGUUGUUCCCAUUCUUUUCUCUGUUUAUUUUCAAUUUCCCAUCCUAUCAGCUCAAACGAAUUAAGGUGGGAGGAGGUAAAGCAACUAGAAAGGGCAGUUUUUAAAGCUGCACCGAGUAGAAGGUAAGAAAAUAUCAUAAAUUUUAUUUCAUGCCUUCUUGCCAAUUGUUAGAAAUGUGCAGUCCAUAUGAAUUCAUAUAACAAGGAGGGAAUGUUGGGAAAACCAAUAAAGAUUUUGUGGUCUUAACUAUAAUGAAUGUAGUUUGAUAUAGAGUCUGUUUUUCACUGCAUGGCAAAAUGAAUCAUAAAAUACUGGACCUUGAAACUCCUGCAUUUUUUAACAAUAGCCUGGGGACAGUUUACAGUGUAAUGAAUUGUAAUUAACCCACCUUCAAAAUCUUUUAUGAGUAUUUUGCCAAUUAGCUUCGCAUGCUUGCUAAUGACUCAUGGCCAGCGCAUGUCUUUACAGAGCAGCCUUUUACAGCACACGCUAGCCUGUUAAGUCAGCAGAAGUAUGCAGGACAGCGAGGUAGACACAGAUCUCUUCUGCUGCUCUGUAUGUCCUUCAUCAGCUGCAGGAGGACUGAAGCCAAUCCAGGUGUACUGAAGAUGGACUCAUGCUUACGUCCUAUCGACAGUCUCAGGAGAGGUGAAAUCCCAUCAGCGAUUAACAUCUCUCUUCUUUAUCUUCUUUCACACUUAGCCUCUAAACCUUGGUGGAAGUUUGAAAGGCUGGAAGUAGCCGCU